RNAcentral lists this ribosomal RNA (787 nucleotides) under uncultured Neocallimastigales. RNAcentral's name for it is "partial large subunit ribosomal RNA". It matches the Rfam family "Eukaryotic large subunit ribosomal RNA", at positions 24 to 634 of the family's 3401-position model. The record is from RNAcentral. Lineage: Eukaryota; Fungi; Neocallimastigomycota; Neocallimastigomycetes; Neocallimastigales.
UAUCUCUGUAGAGUCUGCAUAUCAAUAAGCGGAGGAAAAGAAACUAACUAAGGAUUCCCUCAGUAACGGCGAGUGAAGCGGGGAGAGCUCAAAUUUGAAAUCUUCAAGGGUUCUACCUUGACGAAUUGUAGUUUAUAGAAGUGUUUUCUGUUAGAGAGGUUGGUAAAAGUUCUUUGGAAUAGGACAUCAUAGAGGGUGAGAAUCCCGUAUUUGACUAUUCUUUCUAGCUUUGUGAUACACUUUCAAAGAGUCGGAUUGUUUGGGAAUGCAGUCCAAAAUGGGUGGUAAAUUUCAUCUAAAGCUAAAUAUUGGCGAGAGACCGAUAGCGAACAAGUACCGUGAGGGAAAGAUGAAAAGAACUUUGAAAAGAGAGUUAAACAGUACGUGAAAUUGUCAAAAGGGAAGCGUUUGACACCAGUGUUGUUUAGUUCGAAAAUCAAUUACGAAUAGUUUUCGAUUUUGAGAAGUAGUAUUGACCUUAUCAGGCUUGCUUCUUUCUUCUACGAAACUUAUUUAAUGCACUUUUCAGGUUAACAAGUCAACAUCAAUUUCUUUUGUUGUAAAAAGGUAAUAGGAAGGUGGCUUUCUCUUCGGCGCAAGUGUUUAUAGCCUGUGACUUCUGCAAUCGGAGAGAUUGAGGUCUGCAGCGUAGAUCCUUCGGGGUUAGAUACAUUUGUGCUAAGCUAUAGCCUUUUAUAGACAACUUGUUGACUAUGCUCUAGUCAUGUAGCUUACUCGCUUAUGCUAUUUUACCUACGCUUAGGAUGUUGACGCAUGAGAUAUACGC